CGGCACUUGCUACGCUUAUCUGGCCUGGAGGCACACAGCCAGGAUGCAGCUGCAGAAAGGUACAAGUUGACUCGCCCAAGUGGUAUUCACACAACAAAGAUGCUACUGAGAUUCCACCAACCAAGCACCCAAAUGCAGCUGAAAUGAAGAUGAGACAAAUGUUGACACAAGUGGCAAACAAAGUCAGCUCAAUGCCUGACAGACAGGAAAACGAUGCUUGGUUUCACCACUUGUCUGAAGAACUUCAGAGCAUGAAGGGAAUUAUUGCUAGCUCUUUCAGCAUUCAGCAUUCCACCAUGGUCAGCCGAAAAGAGUUUAAUGAGAAGGAGGAAGAGUGUAGAAAGCUGAAGAAGGAAAACAAAGCCUUACAGGAAAAAUUUCAGUCAGUCUUGGCCAACGCCAUGAAAAGCCACAGGUUCUCUGAGGACCUGAAUGACCCAACUCGAGAGUCGGCUGUGUUGGAGAGAUAUCACAUGCUUCAGACACAACAGUGGGCAAAAGCCAAAUAUGCCACAAGCAGAUCCUCCUGUCCUUUGACGACUACCAAUAGUGGGACCGUAAUUCAGAUGGUGUUUUCCAAAUGUGAAGAAAAUAUAAAAAAUAGAUUGGAUCAAAUCUCCAGCCUCCUUCAGUGUCCUGCUCUGACUGAAGCCAGCGGUGCCACCAGCAGCAAACAGACCUCUGACCUGGUAAGAGAGAUAAGGAAUCACCUUAGAAAUCUCUAUUUUAACAACUCAGAAGACGACUACAGACAACUCGGUGAGGCUGCUCUUCCUGCUGACAUGAAAGAGUCGGAGGCAAUUGUAAAGUUUGCAGCAGAGUGCUGCAGAGUUUACUCUUUGUUGUUUCUUCAGAACCCACCCAUUACAGCUGAGUGGCACCAAGAGCCAACCCUACCAGAUCCCAUAGCACAUACGGAUUUAGAGAUGUUGAAGGGCACUAAAUUUGUGUGGCCAAUACUGGUUUCUGAGGGAAAGGUGAUUAAGAAUGGUAUAGUAAAAAGUAGCAACUGUUUCCAGUUAUAACAGCUGUUUCCAGUAAAACAUUCAGGCAUAAAGCUAAAAAGAAUAGAAAGAGAGUGAACCAGCAGCCUUGCAGUGUGUGCCCCUCUCGCUAAAGAAAUGCCUGAACUUUAGCUCUGCCACUAAAAAUACCCCUGCAUAGGGACAUGUACGAGGGCUUCGUAUUUAUUAGAAGUCCUCAGAUAUCUCAUGAAAAACGUUCUUCCUUGAAAUAACUGUAUUCCUGCCUGUCUCCGAAUUGCUUGUUCCAUUACUGUUUUUAAGCACUCCUUGCAUGAAAAAAAAUUCUUUAUUAAAAAAAAAGUGCAUCAUCUAUGCUUAUUUUCCACUCAUGGAGCCACAAUGCUGGUAUGAUGCUGUCAUGACUGUCUUCACAGCAACUGUGCUACAACUUCAGAUGUUGAUUUCUGUUAAAGAACAAGUCCCCUGUUUGCUGGAUCUGGAAAUGUAUAAUCCUUGCGCUCAAGAUUUGCUAAGCUCACUAGAUUCACACAGAACACAAGUAGAGUAUGUAUAAAUGUAAGUAGGCUUGAUCAUCAAAGGGGGAUUGGAGCCAGCAUGUCUGCAGCCUUGUAGACAUAACAGAUAUGCACUCAGCUCUAAGGAAGGGGUGGUUAUGCUGUCGUUUCUCCAAAGGUAGCCCUAAAGAGGGCCAGGGAGCUUCCAGAACUGCUUUAAUCUUCUGAGAUUUAUGUAGUUUAGGGGUGCUUGUACAUGUGAUGGAAAUUGCCCUUUUUUGUGACUUAACUGAGUUACAGUUUUCACAUACAGGUUUUUCUUGUGAUUUCAAUGUCUUUUUAGCGAUUCAAAAUAAAAC
Crocodylus porosus (Australian saltwater crocodile) is the source of this 1839-nucleotide long non-coding RNA. Ensembl lists it as uncharacterized. NCBI's taxonomy places the organism in Eukaryota, Metazoa, Chordata, Crocodylia, Crocodylidae. The record is from Ensembl.